AGGGUGACAGCCCCGUACACAAAAAUGCACAUGCUGUGAGCUCGAUGAGUAGGGCGGGACACGUGGUAUCCUGUCUGAAUAUGGGGGGACCAUCCUCCAAGGCUAAAUACUCCUGACUGACCGAUAGUGAACCAGUACCGUGAGGGAAAGGCGAAAAGAACCCCGGCGAGGGGAGUGAAAAAGAACCUGAAACCGUGUACGUACAAGCAGUGGGAGCACGCUUAGGCGUGUGACUGCGUACCUUUUGUAUAAUGGGUCAGCGACUUAUAUUCUGUAGCAAGGUUAACCGAAUAGGGGAGCCGAAGGGAAACCGAGUCUUAACUGGGCGUUAAGUUGCAGGGUAUAGACCCGAAACCCGGUGAUCUAGCCAUGGGCAGGUUGAAGGUUGGGUAACACUAACUGGAGGACCGAACCGACUAAUGUUGAAAAAUUAGCGGAUGACUUGUGGCUGGGGGUGAAAGGCCAAUCAAACCGGGAGAUAGCUGGUUCUCCCCGAAAGCUAUUUAGGUAGCGCCUCGUGAAUUCAUCUCCGGGGGUAGAGCACUGUUUCGGCAAGGGGGUCAUCCCGACUUACCAACCCGAUGCAAACUGCGAAUACCGGAGAAUGUUAUCACGGGAGACACACGGCGGGUGCUAACGUCCGUCGUGAAGAGGGAAACAACCCAGACCGCCAGCUAAGGUCCCAAAGUCAUGGUUAAGUGGGAAACGAUGUGGGAAGGCCCAGACAGCCAGGAUGUUGGCUUAGAAGCAGCCAUCAUUUAAAGAAAGCGUAAUAGCUCACUGGUCGAGUCGGCCUGCGCGGAAGAUGUAACGGGGCUAAACCAUGCACCGAAGCUGCGGCAGCGACGCUGAUGCGUUGUUGGGUAGGGGAGCGUUCUGUAAGCCUGCGAAGGUGUGCUGUGAGGCAUGCUGGAGGUAUCAGAAGUGCGAAUGCUGACAUAAGUAACGAUAAAGCGGGUGAAAAGCCCGCUCGCCGGAAGACCAAGGGUUCCUGUCCAACGUUAAUCGGGGCAGGGUGAGUCGACCCCUAAGGCGAGGCCGAAAGGCGUAGUCGAUGGGAAACAGGUUAAUAUUCCUGUACUUGGUGUUACUGCGAAGGGGGGACGGAGAAGGCUAUGUUGGCCGGGCGACGGUUGUCCCGGUUUAAGCGUGUAGGCUGGUUUUCCAGGCAAAUCCGGAAAAUCAAGGCUGAGGCGUGAUGACGAGGCACUACGGUGCUGAAGCAACAAAUGCCCUGCUUCCAGGAAAAGCCUCUAAGCAUCAGGUAACAUCAAAUCGUACCCCAAACCGACACAGGUGGUCAGGUAGAGAAUACCAAGGCGCUUGAGAGAACUCGGGUGAAGGAACUAGGCAAAAUGGUGCCGUAACUUCGGGAGAAGGCACGCUGAUAUGUAGGUGAAGCGACUUGCUCGUGGAGCUGAAAUCAGUCGAAGAUACCAGCUGGCUGCAACUGUUUAUUAAAAACACAGCACUGUGCAAACACGAAAGUGGACGUAUACGGUGUGACGCCUGCCCGGUGCCGGAAGGUUAAUUGAUGGGGUUAGCGCAAGCGAAGCUCUUGAUCGAAGCCCCGGUAAACGGCGGCCGUAACUAUAACGGUCCUAAGGUAGCGAAAUUCCUUGUCGGGUAAGUUCCGACCUGCACGAAUGGCGUAAUGAUGGCCAGGCUGUCUCCACCCGAGACUCAGUGAAAUUGAACUCGCUGUGAAGAUGCAGUGUACCCGCGGCAAGACGGAAAGACCCCGUGAACCUUUACUAUAGCUUGACACUGAACAUUGAGCCUUGAUGUGUAGGAUAGGUGGGAGGCUUUGAAGUGUGGACGCCAGUCUGCAUGGAGCCGACCUUGAAAUACCACCCUUUAAUGUUUGAUGUUCUAACGUUGACCCGU
This 1887-nucleotide ribosomal RNA is filed under the name Escherichia coli. RNAcentral describes it as "partial 23S ribosomal RNA". It matches the Rfam family "Bacterial large subunit ribosomal RNA", at positions 361 to 2236 of the family's 2925-position model. Lineage: Bacteria; Pseudomonadati; Pseudomonadota; Gammaproteobacteria; Enterobacterales; Enterobacteriaceae. The record is from RNAcentral.